This 485-nucleotide ribosomal RNA is filed under the name Oplurus saxicola. RNAcentral's name for it is "partial 16S ribosomal RNA". It matches the Rfam family "Bacterial large subunit ribosomal RNA", at positions 1922 to 2597 of the family's 2925-position model. Lineage: Eukaryota; Metazoa; Chordata; Lepidosauria; Squamata. The record is from RNAcentral.
UUUUAACGGCCGCGGUAUCCUAACCGUGCAAAGGUAGCGUAAUCACUUGUCCCCUAAAUAGGGACUAGUAUGAACGGCUAAAUGAGGACUAACCUGUCUCCUUUGACUAAUCAGUGAAACUGAUCUUUCGGUACAAAAGCCGAAAUAAACACAUAAGACGAGAAGACCCUGUGGAGCUUUAAAUUACAACCAAAACAUGCUAACACAGCAUACCAAAACAUGGCCAAAAAUUUUAAGUUGGGGCGACUUCGGAACCAAACAAAACUUCCGAGAAUAAAGAAUAUUCCUCUUACCGAGACCCACAAGUCAAAGCAAAAAUUGACCCAGUACCACUGACCAACGAACCAAGUUACCCCAGGGAUAACAGCGCUAUCUUCUUCAAGAGUCCAUAUCGACAAGAAGGUUUACGACCUCGAUGUUGGAUCAGGACACCCAAAUGGUGCAGCAGCUAUUAAAGGUUCGUUUGUUCAACGAUUAACAGUCCU